This 1521-nucleotide ribosomal RNA is filed under the name metagenome. RNAcentral describes it as "bacterial LSU rRNA". It matches the Rfam family "Bacterial large subunit ribosomal RNA", at positions 1392 to 2925 of the family's 2925-position model. The record is from RNAcentral.
AAACGCGAGGCCGAAAGGCGUAGUGGAUGGAAAGCAGGCGAAAGAUUCCUGCACCCGUAUAUGGAGCGAAGGAGUGACGGAGACGGAUAGUGUGACCCUCUUAAUGGAUUGAGGGCGAAGCGAAGCGGCUGGUUACCAGGCAAAUCCGGUAACCAUAAGGCUAGAGCGUGAUAGGUAAGCGAAAUCUUAGGAGAGUAGCGAAGCACAUGAUGACGGCUUCCAGGAAAAGCUUCUGGCAAUGCAUAUGCGGCCCGUACCAAAACCGACACAGGUGGGCAGGGAGAGAAUCCCGAGGUGAGCGAGAGAACUGUUGCCAAGGAACUCGGCAAAAUGACUCCGUAAGUUAGCGAGAAGGAGUGCUUAAGCAAUUAAGCCGCAGUGAAGAGGCCCAAGCGACUGUUUAACUAAAACACAGCUCUCUGCGAAGUCGCAAGACGAAGUAUAGGGGGUGACACCUGCCCGGUGCUGGAAGGUUAAGAGGAUCUGUUAAGAGCGAUCUGAAGCAGUGAUCCGAAGCCCCAGUGAACGGCGGCCGUAACCAUAACGGUCCUAAGGUAGCGAAAUUCCUUGUCAGGUAAGUUCUGACCCGCACGAAAGGUGUAACGAUUUGGGCGCUGUCUCGGCAGCAGACUCGGUGAAAUCUUAGUACCUGUGAAAAUGCAGGUUACCCGCAACUAGACGGAAAGACCCCAUGGAGCUUUACUGCAGCCUGAUAUUGAAUUCUGGUCAUACAUGUACAGGAUAGGUGGGAGACAAAGAGACGUGCACGCCAGUGUGCGAGGAGUCGACGUUGGGAUACCACUCUUGUGUGACCGGGGUUCUAACCUGGUAUCGAGAACAGGUACGGGGAGAGUGUCAGGUGGGCAGUUUGACUGGGGCGGUCGCCUCCCAAAGAGUAACGGAGGCGCCCAAAGGUGCGCUCAGAUUGGAUGGAAACCAAUCGUCGAGUGCAAUUGCAGAAGCGUGCUUGACUGUGAGACUUACAAGUCGAACAGGGACGAAAGUCGGGAAUAGUGAUCCGGCGGUGCCGAAUGGAAGGGCCGUCGCUCAACGGAUAAAAGCUACCCUGGGGAUAACAGGCUGAUCUCGCCCAAGAGUUCACAUCGACGGCGAGGUUUGGCACCUCGAUGUCGGCUCAUCGCAUCCUGGAGCUGGAUUCGGUUCCAAGGGUUGGGCUGUCCGCCCAUUAAAGCGGCACGCGAGCUGGGUUCAGAACGUCGUGAGACAGUUCGGUCCCUAUCUGUUGUGGGCGAAGGAGAUCUGCGGAGAGCUGUCCUCAGUACGAGAGGACCGGGAUGGACCUACCGCUGGUGCACCGGUUGUUCCGCCAGGGGCAUAGCCGGGUAGCUAAGUAGGGAAAGGAUAAGCGCUGAAAGCAUCUAAGCACGAAGCCUACUCCAAGAUGAGAUCUCCCAUUCGCAAGAAGUAAGACCCCUUAAAGACGAUAAGGUAGAUAGGCCAGAGAUGGAAGUGCAGUGAUGUACGGAGUUGACUGGUACUAAUCGGUCGAGGACUUAAUCG